This 388-nucleotide long non-coding RNA is filed under the name Elaeis guineensis (African oil palm). RNAcentral describes it as "long non-coding RNA (EGUI_LNC043362)". Lineage: Eukaryota; Viridiplantae; Streptophyta; Magnoliopsida; Arecales; Arecaceae. The record is from RNAcentral.
GAAGCCGAUCAUCGGUCUUCUUUCCCUCUUUUCCUCUCCGAUUUUUUCGAAUUAGAGCCGCGGAUCCUUGCUUCGUUCUCACCGUGAUUGCUCGCCGGUAGGGUCACCGGAGGCCGAGGUGAGUUUCCUUUUUCUUCCUCUCUUCCUUCCCCUUCCUCCCAUGCUCUUGUGCGCGGCUGCCGGCGACAAGAGUCGCCGAUUUUCGAUCGGAAAAGAGACCUCUGUUUCGGUCUCUUUUCCCUUGGAUUUUUUCCGGCGCCGGCGAUCGCAAUCGACCGCCGGCCAUGCUCCUCUGUAAUUGGGGGAGUGGCCCCCUCUGCCACCGGCCUCCGCCGUGGCGGCCGUGGCCUGAACGGUCGGUCAAGGCCAGAGAACCACCGGUCCUCUG